ACUGUACUUUAAAAGUUAAAAAAAAAUGGAAUGAUUCAAAGACAAUUAGCAUGGCCCCUAUGCAAGGAUGGCAUCCAGAUUCCUAAAGAAUUCCAUAUUUUU
Small nuclear RNA from Pipistrellus kuhlii (Kuhl's pipistrelle), 102 nucleotides. The record is from RefSeq and is a predicted model, not a curated record. NCBI's taxonomy places the organism in Eukaryota, Metazoa, Chordata, Mammalia, Chiroptera, Vespertilionidae.